This 253-nucleotide ribosomal RNA is filed under the name uncultured Leptotrichia sp. RNAcentral describes it as "partial 16S ribosomal RNA". It matches the Rfam family "Bacterial small subunit ribosomal RNA", at positions 100 to 354 of the family's 1533-position model. Lineage: Bacteria; Fusobacteriati; Fusobacteriota; Fusobacteriia; Fusobacteriales; Leptotrichiaceae. The record is from RNAcentral.
ACGGGUGGAGUAACGCGUAAGAACUUGCCCUUUAGACUGGGAUAACAGAGGGAAACUUCUGAUAAUACUGGAUAAGUUAGUAUAUCGCAUGAUAUGCAAAUGAAAGCUACGGCACUAAAGGAGAGCUUUGCGUCCUAUUAGCUAGUUGGUAAGGUAAGAGCUUACCAAGGCGAUGAUAGGUAGCCGGCCUGAGAGGGUGGACGGCCACAAGGGGACUGAGAUACGGCCCUUACUCCUACGGGAGGCAGCAGGC